Catharus ustulatus (Swainson's thrush) is the source of this 489-nucleotide non-coding RNA. Lineage: Eukaryota; Metazoa; Chordata; Aves; Passeriformes; Turdidae. The record is from the annotation of a RefSeq genome assembly.
CGGGCGGCCGUGACCCUGCUGGAGUGCGGGGGGGACCUCCAGCCCCCCGGGGGGUCCCUGACUCUGCUCUGCCGUGGGUCUGGGUUCACGUUUGGGAGCUACGGAAUGUACUGGAUCCGCCAGAGACCUGGGAAGGCGCUGGAAUGGGUCGCAGGGAUCCGCCGGAGCAGUGGCACAAUCUACUAUGCACCGUCGGUCAAGGGCCGGUUCACCCUCGUGAGUGACAACGGGCAGAGCUCAGUGACGCUGACCAUGAACAACCUCAAGGACGAGGAUUCCGCCGUUUAUUUCUGUGCCAAAAAUGCUAAUGCUGGUGGUGAUCAUGCUGAUGCUGAAUCUGUUGAUGGUGUCGACCGCGUCCCAAUCGAGAACCGGCCCUGCACCGAGGGCAGGUACCAGGUGUGGGCUCCUUUCCUGCCAAAUGAGGUGAUACUGGCGACAACUUCCAGAGCCUUCCCUGGUCUUUGGCGCAUCCAGAACAUUGCAUAG